GAUGAACGCUGGCGGCGUGCCUAAUACAUGCAAGUCGAGCGAACGGACGAGAAGCUUGCUUCUCUGAUGUUAGCGGCGGACGGGUGAGUAACACGUGGAUAACCUACCUAUAAGACUGGGAUAACUUCGGGAAACCGGAUCUAAUACCGGAUAAUAUUUUGAACCGCAUGGUUCAAAAGUGAAAGACGGUCUUGCUGUCACUUAUAGAUGGAUCCGCGCUGCAUUAGCUAGUUGGUAAGGUAACGGCUUACCAAGGCAACGAUGCAUAGCCGACCUGAGAGGGUGAUCGGCCACACUGGAACUGAGACACGGUCCAGACUCCUACGGGAGGCAGCAGUAGGGAAUCUUCCGCAAUGGGCGAAAGCCUGACGGAGCAACGCCGCGUGAGUGAUGAAGGUCUUCGGAUCGUAAAACUCUGUUAUUAGGGAAGAACAUAUGUGUAAGUAACUGUGCACAUCUCGACGGUACCUAAUCAGAAAGCCACGGCUAACUACGUG
RNAcentral lists this ribosomal RNA (497 nucleotides) under uncultured bacterium. Its description in RNAcentral is "partial 16S ribosomal RNA". It matches the Rfam family "Bacterial small subunit ribosomal RNA", at positions 28 to 507 of the family's 1533-position model. The record is from RNAcentral.